GGUUCUAUAGUGUAAUAGUUAGCACCCAGGACUCCUAAUCCAGUAUUCCGGGUUCGAAUCCCGGUAGAACCU
Non-coding RNA from Aphanomyces astaci, 72 nucleotides. NCBI's taxonomy places the organism in Eukaryota, Oomycota, Saprolegniomycetes, Saprolegniales, Verrucalvaceae. The record is from Rfam.